UCAAAAGUUAAAAUUGUGUUGUGUCAUGUGAUUAACAGCGGUUAAUGGGUGAAUUGUCAAAUCAGACAUCUUCUCUUUCCCUUUCCCUCUUUUUCAGACUCCAAGCCUGGAUAAAAGAGAAGCAUCUGUAUUAAAAACUGACCGGACUCCACAAGCUAGGAAGUGAGUGUGAAACGCCCAUGACGGGGAAAAAGAUUCUGAAGGUCAUUGUGGAGCCCCUUCUGGCAACCCCUGGGCUGAGGAGCCUCAACUCU
Long non-coding RNA from Syngnathus acus (greater pipefish), 254 nucleotides. RefSeq lists it as uncharacterized. The record is from RefSeq and is a predicted model, not a curated record. The transcript is spliced from 3 exons. NCBI's taxonomy places the organism in Eukaryota, Metazoa, Chordata, Actinopteri, Syngnathiformes, Syngnathidae.